UGGUCUUAAAUAAUCUUUAGUUUAUAUUAUCAUUAUUAUUAUCAUUAUUAUUCAUUAUUACAUAUGUAAUGUUAAGUAAAUUUUGCUGCUAAUUCUUUCAGAUAAAUGUUUAAUGUUUUACUUUUACAUUUUAAUGUGAUGGGAGUAUAGUUGCCCUCAGUUUCCAGUAAGGAAGGAUAGUGGACAUAGUGUCCAACACUAUAUUGCAUUAUUAUAACAAGGUGUUUCUAUCAUUGUCAUUGUUUACCCCUUUUAUAUCAGUGAGGGCUAAAUAACAUAAAUACCUCAAUGCAAACUACAUCAUCCAAACAGACCUGAAACAGACGAAUUUGAUGCAGGAUUGUAAUGUUAGACUCCAUCACCUUCAGCCAGGUGUAAUAAACUGGCAGCUGAGUGCAUACUGUGGGUCUGAAUUCCUUCUCCGAUACGUGCCCCCUCACUCGUGCAGCUUCCAUGUCAGCACAGUGACAGCACCCAAAACGCCACAGGGGCACGCAGUCGAGGCGUUUCUCCAAACCAGCCGGUUCACGAAGAUAAUCAGCCUCUGCAGCACGUCUCCGGUGAGUGACUGGUGGAGCCGCGCGGCGUGUAGGAGAGACCCGUCUGGAUCUGGCUGUUGGUGAAGUGUGCGUCUGUGCGCUUGCAGGGCGGCGCGGGGAGAAGGGUGGACAGCUGCCGUCUCUCCAUGGUCGUCUGUAUGAAAGAGUACAUAUUGCACGUCACUCGCAAAGGUAACAGAUAUGGCAGUAUGUCGCUGCCAUCUGUCACUGGAGCUUCACACGUCCGCUCAGACAAAAGGAGGAGCGGGCCUCGGCGGCGGCAGCAAGGCCCCAGCCCUGCUAUUGUUCUUCAGGCUGGUGGGUGAAUGUCGGGCCCCUGAUCGUCAGGCCCUGCUGGAGUGAUGCAGUCUGGCCAACGGCAGCAUUGUUCACCACACACACUCACCCAUAAGGGACAUUUAGGUUAAGCGUAACUGAAAUAAUUCAGAAUUGAAAGCAAUAAAUUCCCCAAAACUUA
Molecule: long non-coding RNA, 1017 nt
Organism: Hippoglossus stenolepis (Pacific halibut)
Lineage: Eukaryota; Metazoa; Chordata; Actinopteri; Pleuronectiformes; Pleuronectidae
Exons: 2
Source: RefSeq, a predicted model, not a curated record